This 812-nucleotide ribosomal RNA is filed under the name uncultured bacterium. RNAcentral's name for it is "bacterial SSU rRNA". It matches the Rfam family "Bacterial small subunit ribosomal RNA", at positions 58 to 916 of the family's 1533-position model. The record is from RNAcentral.
CAAGUCGAACGAACCUUCGGGUUAGUGGCGGACGGGUGAGUAACGCGUGGGAACCUACCCUCAGGAGGGGGAUAACGGUUGGAAACGGCCGCUAAUACCCCAUAUGCCGAGAGGUGAAAUGAGAUUCGCCUGAGGAUGGGCCCGCGUCUGAUUAGCUAGUUGGUGGGGUAAGAGCCUACCAAGGCGACGAUCAGUAGCUGGUCUGAGAGGAUGAUCAGCCACACUGGGACUGAGACACGGCCCAGACUCCUACGGGAGGCAGCAGUGGGGAAUUUUCCGCAAUGGGCGAAAGCCUGACGGAGCAACGCCGCGUGAGGGAUGAAGGCCUCUGGGCUGUAAACCUCUUUUCUCAAGGAAGAAGAUCUGACGGUACUUGAGGAAUAAGCCACGGCUAAUUCCGUGCCAGCAGCCGCGGUAAUACGGGAGUGGCAAGCGUUAUCCGGAAUUAUUGGGCGUAAAGCGUCCGCAGGCGGCCUUACAAGUCUGUCGUUAAAGCGUGGAGCUUAACUCCAUCAAGGCGAUGGAAACUGUAAGGCUAGAGUGUGGUAGGGGCAGAGGGAAUUCCCGGUGUAACGGUGAAAUGCGUAGAUAUCGGGAAGAACACCAGUGGCGAAGGCGCUCUGCUGGGCCAUAACUGACGCUCAUGGACGAAAGCCAGGGGAGCGAAAGGGAUUAGAUACCCCUGUAGUCCUGGCCGUAAACGAUGAACACUAGGUGUCGGGGGAAUCGACCCCUCCGGUGUCGUAGCCAACGCGUUAAGUGUUCCGCCUGGGGAGUACGCACGCAAGUGUGAAACUCAAAGGAAUUGACGG